Hordeum vulgare subsp. vulgare (domesticated barley) is the source of this 129-nucleotide long non-coding RNA. RefSeq lists it as uncharacterized. The record is from RefSeq and is a predicted model, not a curated record. Lineage: Eukaryota; Viridiplantae; Streptophyta; Magnoliopsida; Poales; Poaceae. The transcript has 2 exons.
UUCAAGAUGGUGAAAAUGAUAAUUCAACGUCAAUAUGACCCUGUGAUACUUUUCAGCUUCAGCAAAAGAGAGUGUGAAUUUCUUGCCAUGCAGAUGGCCAAGAUGGACUUGAAUGGGGAUGAUGAGAAA